RNAcentral lists this long non-coding RNA (961 nucleotides) under Gossypium barbadense (sea-island cotton). Its description in RNAcentral is "long non-coding RNA (GBAR_LNC012065)". The record is from RNAcentral. Lineage: Eukaryota; Viridiplantae; Streptophyta; Magnoliopsida; Malvales; Malvaceae.
UCCCUACAUCAAUUGCACCAUCAACAACAGCAAUAGACUCAAUAGCAUCCUCAUUUUCGUUGCUCUUUUUCUUCUUUUCAAUUUCAUCACUCCCCACAUCAAUUGCACCAUCAACAACAGCAAUAGCCUCAAUAGCAUCCUCAUUUUCAUUGCUCUUCUUCUUCUUCUUUUUCUUCUUUUCAAUUUCAUCACUCCCUACAUCAAUUGCACCAUCAACAACAGCAAUAGACUCAAUAGCAUCCUCAUUUUCGUUGCUCUUUUUCUUCUUUUCAAUUUCAUCACUCCCCACAUCAAUUGCACCAUCAACAACAGCAAUAGCCUCAAUAGCAUCCUCAUUUCCAUUGCUCUUCUUCUUCUUCUUUUUCUUAUUUUCAAUUUCAUCACUCCCUACAUCAAUUGCACCAUCAACAACAGCAAUAGCCUCAAUAGCCUCCUCAUUCUCUUUGUUCUUCUUCUUCUUCUUCUUCUUUUUCUUCUUUUCAAUUUCAUCACUCCCUGCAUCAAUUGCAUUAUCAACAACAGCAACAGCAAUAUCCUCAAUAGCAUCCUCAUUUUCAUUGCUCUUCUUCUUUUUCUUUUUAUUCUUUUCAAUUUCAUUACUCCCUACAUCAAUUGCACCAUCCACAACAGCAACAGCAAUAGCCUCAAUAGCAUCCUCAUUUUCAUUGCUCUUCUUCUUUUUCUUAUUUUCAUUUUCAUCACUCCCUACAUCAAUUGCACCAUCAACAACAGCAAUAGCCUCAAUAGCAUUCUCAUUUUCAUUGCUCUUCUUCUUUUUCUUCUUUUCAAUUUCAUCACUCCCUACAUCAAUUGCACCAUCAACAACAGCAAUAGCCUCAAUAGCAUCCUCAUUUUCAUUUCUCUUCUUCUUCUUCUUCUUUUUCUUCUUUUCAAAUUCAUCACUCCCUACAUCAAUUGCACUAUCAACAACAGCAACAGCAAUAGCCUCAAUGGCAUCUAC